RNAcentral lists this ribosomal RNA (253 nucleotides) under uncultured bacterium. RNAcentral's name for it is "partial 16S ribosomal RNA". It matches the Rfam family "Bacterial small subunit ribosomal RNA", at positions 524 to 776 of the family's 1533-position model. The record is from RNAcentral.
UACGGAGGGUGCAAGCGUUGCUCGGAAUUACUGGGCGUAAAGGGUAGGUAGGUGGUCUCAUUUGUCUGGGGUGAAAGCCUUGAGCUUAACUCAAGAAGUGCCCCAGAAACGGUGAGACUGGAGUCCUGGAGAGGGUCGUGGAAUUCCCGGUGUAGCGGUGAAAUGCGUAGAGAUCGGGAGGAACACCAGAGGCGAAAGCGGCGACCUGGACAGGCACUGACACUCAACUACGAAAGCGUGGGGAGCAAACAGG